UACGUAGGGUGCAAGCGUUAAUCGGAAUUACUGGGCGUAAAGCGCGCGCAGGCGGGUUGGUCAGUCUGGGGUGAAAUCUCACGGCUCAACCGUGAGGGGUCCCUGGAUACUGCCAGCCUUGAGGGGCUCAGAGGAGAGUGGAAUUCCGGGUGUAGUGGUGGAAUGCGUAGAUAUCCGGAGGAACACCAGUGGCGAAAGCGGCUCUCUGGGGGCAACCUGACGCUGAGGCGCGAAAGCGUGGGGAGCGAACCGG
This 253-nucleotide ribosomal RNA is filed under the name uncultured bacterium. RNAcentral describes it as "partial 16S ribosomal RNA". It matches the Rfam family "Bacterial small subunit ribosomal RNA", at positions 524 to 776 of the family's 1533-position model. The record is from RNAcentral.